This 497-nucleotide ribosomal RNA is filed under the name uncultured bacterium. RNAcentral describes it as "partial 16S ribosomal RNA". It matches the Rfam family "Bacterial small subunit ribosomal RNA", at positions 28 to 507 of the family's 1533-position model. The record is from RNAcentral.
GAUGAACGCUGGCGGCGUGCCUAAUACAUGCAAGUCGAGCGAACAGACCAGGAGCUUGCUCCUCUGACGUUAGCGGCGGACGGGUGAGUAACACGUGGAUAACCUACCUAUAAGACUGGGAUAACUUCGGGAAACCGGAGCUAAUACCGGAUAAUAUAUUGAACCGCAUGGUUCAAUAGUGAAAGACGGUUUUGCUGUCACUUAUAGCUGGCUCCGCGCCGCAUUAGCUAGUUGGUAAGGUAACGGCUUACCAAGGCAACGAUGCGUAGCCGACCUGAGAGGGUGAUCGGCCACACGGGAACUGAGACACGGCCCAGACUCCGACGGUAGGCAGCAGUAGGGAAUCUUCCGCAAGGGGCGAAAGCCUGACGGAGCAACGCCGCGUGAGGGAUGAAGGUCUUCGGAUCGUAAAACUCUGUUAUUAGGGAAGAACAAAUGUGUAAGUAACUAUGCACGUCUUGACGGUACCUAAGCAGAAAGCCACGGCUAACUACGUG